UGGGGUAAAAUUGACAGCAGCAAUGUUAUCAUGCAACUCCUUUACUUUCUUAUCCUUCUCCUCAACCAAAUUCUUCAGCCGAGUGAACUCUUCAUGAAUAGCUGGAUCUAGUAAUAGCUUCCGUGCCUGCAUAGAUGGCGGCUUGAGUUGAGCUCUAAGGUCCCGAACUGCAGACUUCAACUCUGCUAUCUCCUGCUCUCUUUUGGCAAAAGUAACAAUAAAUGCAGCCUCCUUUUUCUUUGCUCUUUCCAACUGUUCACGCAAUGACUCCUCAGAUGAUCUGAUGUUCUGAAGAUAACUGACCACAAACUUGGGUUCAGGUGUCAUGCCAGGAGGUAUGAAUGGUUCCUUUUCAAACGCAGAGCGCCACUUUAGUAUUUCAGAUUUUGCUGAUUCAAGUUCUGUCUGAGUUGAUGCUAGGUUAUCCUUACAGUCCUGUAGACUUUCGCGAAGAGACAAGAUCAUCCCUGUUGCUGCACCAGGUGCUGUUUCUUCUACUUUCAACAAAUUACCCUUUUUAGAGCCAAAAAUAUCGUCCUCAUCAUCGUCAAGGUCUCCAAAGCUUCUUUUGGUACCUGAACGUCCAGUGGCGGCGAAAUCUCCACCAAAAUCGAGGUCAUCGUCCAUGUGAUUAUGAGACGCCAUUGAUAGAAUCAAUUCAACAAGCUUAAAGUUCAAUUUGGAACCCUAAAUUUGUUGAACAAUGAGGAGGCUUCAGUGAAAAGAAAGCGGGGAAGGAAGAAAAAUGUUUUGUCACAUCCGG
Molecule: unclassified non-coding RNA, 763 nt
Filed under: Hevea brasiliensis (rubber tree)
Lineage: Eukaryota; Viridiplantae; Streptophyta; Magnoliopsida; Malpighiales; Euphorbiaceae
Source: RNAcentral